CCUACGGGAGGCAGCAGUGGGGAAUAUUGCACAAUGGGGGCAACCCUGAUGCAGCGACGCCGCGUGAGUGAAGAAGGAAUUCGUUAUGUAAAGCUCUAUCAGCAGGGAAGAAAAUGACGGUACCUGUGUCAGAAGCCCCGGCUAACUACGUGCCAGCAGCCGCGGUAAUACGUAGGGGGCCAGCGUUAUCCGGAUUGACUGGGUGUAAAGGGAGCUGAGUCGGCUGUGCAAGUCUGGAGUGAAAGGCGGGGGCUCAACCGCCGGACUGCACUGGAAACUGUACGGCUGGAGUGCAGGAGAGGUAAGUGGAAUUCCUGGUGUAGCGGUGAAAUGCGUAGAUAUUAGGAGGAACACCAGUGGCGAAGGCGGCUUACUGGACUGUAACUGACGUUGAGGCUCGAAAGCGUGGGGAGCAAACAGGAUUAGAUACCCGGGUAGUC
Molecule: ribosomal RNA, 440 nt
Filed under: uncultured bacterium
Lineage: Bacteria
Description: partial 16S ribosomal RNA
Rfam family: Bacterial small subunit ribosomal RNA
Source: RNAcentral